GAUGAUGAUGGUGACGGUGAUGAUGUCAAUAAGAACACACCACCAUUGUUUCCCAUGGGAUGGCAAAACCACUGUGCCCCGGGUGACACAGCUGACACUUGCCUAGGAAGGGAUGAAGUGUGACUGCCCCAUUCCAGCUACCUGGAAGAAGAAACACUUAGCCCCUCUGUUUCCCUGAAUACCCAGAUGGAUGGUUACAACUUGAGAAUGACUUCAGCCCCUGGCAAGAUCAUUUCAUACUGUUCAGAAUCCGCUCUACCCCCCGCAGGGCAGAGGAAAAAAAUAGCUCUUUCUGUUUUUCCCUCAAGGUGAGAAAUCAUAAAAUGAAGAUAGAGACAGAAUAACACCACUAGAAAAAUACAGGCAAGAGCUUGGGGACUCUCAGCCUGACAAUUUAGCUUUAGAGAUGAAGUGGGAGAAGGACACUAGGUGGUGGUUGUCUUGAGAAGAGGGAGGAAGGAAUGAGCGGAGGUGACAGAGUGGGGGAGACAGCCACCUGGAUCGCUGUGCCCAGACCCCUGUGUGAGCCUAGGGAGGUUUGACUGUGGAAUCCGUCAGUCAUGGCAGGAGGGGCCUGGCAGAAAGUAAGAACACGCUGAGGGAGGAUGGUAUGAUGGGAAGCAGAGUAUCUUUGAAGACAGAAGCCCUGGGUUUGUUAUUUAUUUUAUGCAUUCAGUAAAGCAUUAUGGAGAGCUCACUAGGAGUCAGGCAUGGUGGUGGUGCUGGGGACACAGAGGCUAAUAUGAUCAGGUCCAUGGAAUGAAGGAACAUCCAGUCUCCUGGGAAGCAGAUUCUACAGCAGCCUGCUCUGAUAAGUCCUGCGAGGUCUACAGAGUUGGGCAGGUCAGAAGGUGCAGAAGCAGCAGUGGCAAAGACUGUGUCUGAAUCUGAAAUGUGAGUAGGUUUUGAUCUCAAUGAACAUGUUCCAAAAGAGACUCUGGAAGUAUAGCACAGAAUGAGCAAAGCCACGGUACUAACAAACAGCACAAGACACACGAGGACGAUGGCAGAUUCACAGCAUUGAAGUGUCGUGGUGUGAACUAAUAAAUACAAUCAGUAGGAGUGUAAGUAUAGGUUAUAGAUUAGUAAAAAUAUAGCUUAUAGAUAUGAUAAGUGAGGUAAGACAAUCAUAAAGCAAGAACCGUCAUAGACAAGGCUAAGACUCCACUUUGCUUCCUUCUGUAAAAAAACUGUUACAAGAGCUGCUUCUGAGAAACCGAAAUGAAAGCUGUUUUCUUAUAUUGUUUUCUGUACUUUGUACCCCACAAAAUGUACUCAACCCAAGUUAUGGUGGUCUUGGUGACCCAAAACUUGGAAGUAGAUUCCCGCCCCUGCUAACCACUUGCUGGAACUCGGGAUACAGUUGUUUAACACCUGCUUGGACUAAGAUGUGCUUAACUGAGUUUCAUAGCUGACUGCUUUUCUCUAGCUUCCGUGAUUGGCUUGCUUGCACUAAGGAAAGGCCCUGAGUUAUGGUUUUCGUCUUUAAGUUCCCAGGACACAGGCCAGGAAGUUGCUGUUCUCCCACAGAGCUUUAGUCUCUAUGGGUGGGUGAAAUCCCUGGCCAGGCAAAUAAAGCUCUCAGUGACUUAAA
This is a long non-coding RNA of Ictidomys tridecemlineatus (thirteen-lined ground squirrel), 1594 nucleotides long. RefSeq lists it as uncharacterized. The record is from RefSeq and is a predicted model, not a curated record. NCBI's taxonomy places the organism in Eukaryota, Metazoa, Chordata, Mammalia, Rodentia, Sciuridae.